UACGUAGGGUGCAAGCGUUGUCCGGAAUUAUUGGGCGUAAAGAGCUCGUAGGCGGUCUGUCGCGUCGGAUGUGAAAACCCAGGGCUCAACCCUGGGCCUGCAUUCGAUACGGGCAGACUAGAGUUCGGUAGGGGAGACUGGAAUUCCUGGUGUAGCGGUGAAAUGCGCAGAUAUCAGGAGGAACACCAGUGGCGAAGGCGGCUCACUGGCCCGGUACUGACGCUGAGGCGCGAAAGCGUGGGGAGCAAACAGG
Molecule: ribosomal RNA, 253 nt
Filed under: uncultured bacterium
Lineage: Bacteria
Description: partial 16S ribosomal RNA
Rfam family: Bacterial small subunit ribosomal RNA
Source: RNAcentral